GUUCGGCGGGUGAGGGGGAGCUGCUGGCGCCGUUUCCGAGCCUCACGCACCGUGAGGACUCUGAGGGACCGAUUUACCCGCACAUCCCCCACGAGGAGCUCGGUACCCUGCGGGUGCCACGGCCUUGGGGCACCGCCUCGCUGCCUGGCACGAAGGGAGGGGCUGUAUAAACCUUUUCUGGUUUAUACAAGCCCACGUUCAAGUGCCAUGAAACGCUUCCUAAUCCCAAAUCGUUAAAUCCACACCUUAACCUUCAAUGUAUCACCCGGUAAAUUUGAGUGACCCUGAUGAGGACAGAGCCCUGCCAGCCCUGGUACUUUGGGCACAGAUGGAUUUUGGCAGCGUUUCUACCUCAGGGACCGGCACCGGCCAGAGACCAUCGCUCCCUGAGCUUCCCCUGAGCUCAGACUGAACAGAAAUAAUCCUUCACCUUCCUCAAAUCUCCUCUCCCCUCUGGGGAAACCUCACACAGCAGGCUGCCUCGUUGCCCUGUGCACACAGAUCCACGUGAAUGGUGCGGGGCAGGACCCCGGGAACAGGAAAAUUCAAAUCAAAGUGGGAAUCAAAGGCAAAUCCCUGCUGCUCCUGACCAUGCCAGGAUCUGCCUGGGCUCAGGAUCCUGUUCCUACACACAGGACACUGAUUAAAGCUCUGCUCUUCCCCUCAGCUGGCCAGGACAGGCUGCAAACACAGCUCAGUGUCAUCAUUCCACUGCCAAUAACACAUGAGCUCGGAGGAAGCCUCUCAGCUCCAGCUUUUUAUAUCCAAACUCUUCCUGGCUGAGCAAUCUCAACCUGCUAUUGAUCCAGAUGACGCAUUUGAUUCCUAUAAUUGAGAUUGGAAUUAAAAAAAAGGAAAGAAAAAGAAGCCUUUCUAUUUCUUGCAGCGAGUUUGUUUCUCACGUUUGACAGCUCGGAGCGUGCAGCACUCGGGCUUUUGUCGUGAUUGAAGUGAAGGAAUUUUUUAAAGCUGUUUCAGCCCAAAAGUCACUGAGGAUGGAAGAAAAAUAUCUGGGUGUUCUCUCAGCCAUGGGCUGUGGAAGCUCAGGCAGCUGCUGAAGUCGUUUUUUGGGGGAUCAUGGAAUGGUUUGGGUGGGAAGGGAACUAAAAAUCACCUCGUUCCUGGGACACCUUCCCCCAUCCUGGGACACUCCAGGGGCCUCCCCACCCUCCCAGGGAAGGAUUUCUCCCUAAUAUUUCAUCUAAUCCCCCUCGCUCUGAGCUUUAACCCAUUCCCCCUUGUCCUGCCAAGCAGGAAUUUGGAAAUAAUAAACCAGAAUUAAACCCGUGGCCA
This 1293-nucleotide long non-coding RNA is filed under the name Parus major (Great Tit). RNAcentral's name for it is "lncRNA (ENSPMJG00000018448.1)". The record is from RNAcentral. Lineage: Eukaryota; Metazoa; Chordata; Aves; Passeriformes; Paridae.